Non-coding RNA from Malus domestica (apple), 1766 nucleotides. Lineage: Eukaryota; Viridiplantae; Streptophyta; Magnoliopsida; Rosales; Rosaceae. The record is from RefSeq and is a predicted model, not a curated record.
CCCUAACAAUAAAAACGGAACCUUUUGCGACACUAUCAUUCUCCAUGCGCUUUUUUACUACUAUCCUUCCACCCAAACACACAAAUCCCACAAAACACAAAUGCCACCAGCGAAAAUUCCACAACACAAACAAAAGAACCCCAAUUUUUUGACUUACGAAAAGGUACUGCAUCUCUGAAUGCCAUUGCCAUUGCCAUUGCCAUUGCAGAGCACACAAAAAAACCUCAAAAAUUACCAACCCAAGAACAUAGGAACCGUAAUUUGCACGAGUCCCCAGGUUGUUACCUCAAAGAUUGAUACUUUCUCCUCGUUUUUGAAUUAUCUCCAUCUGGGUGUGUCGGAAGUUGUUGGAAUUGAGGAAUGGAGGGCGAGAAAUACGGUGAGGAGCUGGAUGUGGCGGUGAGAGUGGUUCACAUGGCGUGCGCUCUGUGUCAGAGGCUGCAGGAGGGUUUGGUGUCAGGUGGCAGUGGCCUCGUUAAGUCCAAGGACGAUGAUUCUCCUGUGACUGUCGCAGAUUGGAGUGUGCAAGCAACUGUUAGCUGGAUACUGUCUGAAUUCUUUGGAAGUCAGAAUGUAUCCAUUAUUGCUGAAGAAGAUGUACAAACUCUCUCUCAGGCUGACUCAGCAGGUUUGCUGGAAGCUGUUGUGAACACUGUUAAUGAAUGCUUAGCUGGAGCCCCCAAAUAUGGUCUUAAAAGUCCACCAAAAUCCCUCAACACCUCUCAAGUUCUUGAGGCUAUCAGCCGAUGCAACUCAGUGGGAGGCCCCAAAGGAAAACAUUGGGUACUUGAUCCUGUUGACGGAACACUAGGGUUUGUGCGUGGGGAUCAAUACGCUGUAGCUUUAGCAUUGAUUGAGGAUGGAAAAGUUGUUAUUGGAGUACUUGGGUGCCCUAAUUACCCAAUGAAUAAAGAAUUGCUCAGUUAUCAUUAUCAGUACCAUGAAGCCAUGUCAAAGUUGUCUCCCCCUUCUGAGGAUACGUGGGAAAGAGGUUGUGUGAUGUAUGCGAGGAGAGGCAGUGGUAAAGCAUGGAUGCAGCCACCAAUCCGUGGGGAUAAGAAGUUUGUGUGGCCAAAUUCUGCAAGACUUAUUCAGGUUUCUUCCAUUGAUGACCCCACGCUGGCUACUUGUUGUGAACCUGUCGAGAGAGCAAAUUCAGACCACUCCUUCACAGCAGGACUUGCUCACAGCGUAGGGCUUAGAAAUCAGCCCCUGCGUGUCUAUAGCAUGGUGAAAUAUGCAGCCAUAGCUCGAGGAGAUGCUGAGCUAUUCAUGAAGUUUGCAAGGACUGGAUACAAGGAGAAGAUAUGGGAUCAUGCUGCUGGUCUUGUCAUUGUAGAAGAGGCCGGAGGUGUGGUAACUGAUGCUGGAGGGCGUCCCCUGGACUUCUCAAAGGGACCGUACUUAGAGGAACUUGACAGGGGCAUAGUUGUUUGUUCUGGGGCCACACUACAUGAGAAAAUCAUUGAUGCCGUGUAUGCCAGCUGGGACUCUUCUAAUUUAUGAGGCUUUUCUGUUCCAUGCCAAUGGACCACAGUGGCAGUAAAUUUUGCAAUUUUGUUGAGGGCAAGCGAUUUGCAGAGAAGGAUUUGUGAUAACAUUCAUAUGCUAUCGCCAAGGUUAAGUUUAUAGAAGGUAGUAUUUCGUCUGGUGACAUGUUCAACUGAGUUCAAAAUGGCACUGUUAUACUGCUCUACUCAAUAGUGAAAUAUUUAUCAGUAAGAUCUUCAAAGUAAAUAUUAUGCAAUUGCAGUUGCGUUUCAAGA